Molecule: ribosomal RNA, 253 nt
Filed under: uncultured bacterium
Lineage: Bacteria
Description: partial 16S ribosomal RNA
Rfam family: Bacterial small subunit ribosomal RNA
Source: RNAcentral
UACGUAGGGUGCAAGCGUUAAUCGGAAUUACUGGGCGUAAAGCGUGCGCAGGCGGCUUUGCAAGACAGAUGUGAAAUCCCCGGGCUUAACCUGGGAACUGCAUUUGUGACUGCAUGGCUGGAGUGCGGCAGAGGGGGAUGGAAUUCCGCGUGAAGCAGUGAAAUGCGUAGAUAUGCGGAGGAACACCGAUGGCGAAGGCAAUCCCCUGGGCCUGCACUGACGCUCAUGCACGAAAGCGUGGGGAGCAAACAGG